UACGUAGGGGGCGAGCGUUGUCCGGAUUUACUGGGCGUAAAGGGUGAGUAGGCGGUAAUAUGUGUCAGAUGUAAAAGGCUAAGGCUUAACCAUAGUUAGCAUUUGAAACUGUAUUACUUGAGUGCAGGAGAGGUAAGCGGAAUUCCUAGUGUAGCGGUGAAAUGCGUAGAUAUUAGGAGGAACACCAGUGGCGAAGGCGGCUUACUGGACUGUAACUGACGCUGAGUCACGAAAGCGUGGGUAGCAAACAGG
RNAcentral lists this ribosomal RNA (252 nucleotides) under uncultured bacterium. RNAcentral describes it as "partial 16S ribosomal RNA". It matches the Rfam family "Bacterial small subunit ribosomal RNA", at positions 524 to 776 of the family's 1533-position model. The record is from RNAcentral.